Molecule: transfer RNA, 73 nt
Filed under: Canis lupus familiaris (dog)
Lineage: Eukaryota; Metazoa; Chordata; Mammalia; Carnivora; Canidae
Also listed under: 1 other name
Rfam family: tRNA
About the family: Transfer RNA (tRNA) molecules are approximately 80 nucleotides in length. Their secondary structure includes four short double-helical elements and three loops (D, anti-codon, and T loops). Further hydrogen bonds mediate the characteristic L-shaped molecular structure. tRNAs have two regions of fundamental functional importance: the anti-codon, which is responsible for specific mRNA codon recognition, and the 3' end, to which the tRNAs corresponding amino acid is attached (by aminoacyl-tRNA synthetases). tRNAs cope with the degeneracy of the genetic code in two manners: having more than one tRNA (with a specific anti-codon) for a particular amino acid; and 'wobble' base-pairing, i.e. permitting non-standard base-pairing at the 3rd anti-codon position.
Source: Rfam by way of RNAcentral
GCCUGGCUGGCUCAUUGAGUAGAGCAUAUGACUCUUGAUCUUAGGGUUCUGGGUUCAAGUCCCAUGGUGGGUG